This is a non-coding RNA of Drosophila virilis, 329 nucleotides long. NCBI's taxonomy places the organism in Eukaryota, Metazoa, Arthropoda, Insecta, Diptera, Drosophilidae. The record is from RefSeq and is a predicted model, not a curated record.
AUUAUUUGUCAAAAACUUUGAUGUCAAUCAAAACCUACAAAAUACUAAUUCAUUUUUUAUUUUGAACUUUGCAGCCUAAUCUGACAUGGAUUUGAAACGAACCCAUUUCUGGAAAUAACGUGAUGCCAAUCCUUACAAGUCCAAAAUGGUGUAUCAUUCCAUAUUUGGAGAUUAUUUUGGCCGAGAUAUUCGAAGAAAUCAUGAAAAUAGUUUGACUUUACAUCCGGAUCGUGUCUGGUCGUAAAAUUUAAUCGAACGCCUCUAUUUUUCAUUUAAUUGAAAGCCAAUUUAUAAAAGGGAACCGUACAAAUUUAAAAAAGGUUAUAACA